Long non-coding RNA from Mytilus californianus (California mussel), 1702 nucleotides. RefSeq lists it as uncharacterized. The transcript has 5 exons. The record is from RefSeq and is a predicted model, not a curated record. NCBI's taxonomy places the organism in Eukaryota, Metazoa, Mollusca, Bivalvia, Mytilida, Mytilidae.
GCACAACAACCAAAUUGCAACUUUUAAUGGAAAUAUCUUUAAAGGUUUGACGGCUCUUAAUAAAUUGUACUUGGACAACAAUCCACUGGACUGCUCCAAAUGCGAAUUAAAAAAGUUAAAGGAAUUUCUGCAACAUAAGACAAAUUUGGUAGUUUCCGGUGCAUUGUGUGAAAACAAAAAGUUAAUUAAUCAUAUCUUCACCAACUGCAAAGAGAUGACAGCAGAACAUACAGAAGAAAUCUCAACUGUUUCCCAGCAACAAACAAGCCUUAUUAUAAGUAGUGCAAAAUCAGAUACGACAGAAACAUUUCCAUCUUCUGCUACAAUAGAUAAUCCAGCAAGAACAACGCAGAGUACUACAGGUAUAAUAAAUACAGAAGUUAUCAUUUAUUUAUCGUGUGGAGUUAGCUUUUUUCUCAUUCUCAGCUGCAGUAUGGCUUGCUUCUAUGGAGGCAAAACAUAUCAAAAGGCACACAUUAACCAAAAUGUAGGAAUUAAUCAAAUUAUAGAUUUAAAUAACCGCGAAGUUGACGAAGACAGUGACGCAGAAAUAAGCCUAAAUAUUUUAACAGAAAGGGGAAGUGGUUACGGAUAUGCCGAAAUAGAUGAGCUUGAGCUGUCUGAAUUCAUUUUGAUACCUCUCGAACAACUACAUCUAGUACAUGACGACAGUUCAAGUGAUUCGUAUGAUGGGAUCCGACCACCAAGCGAUGGCUAUUUAAACCCCUAUCAGUCACUGUUGCCUUCUUUGCAGCAGUCCGGAAACGAUCAGGAUGAUUCUGAUGAAUAUAGUCAUCCAGAUGAAGAGAACAGAGCGUACACCAAUCUUUACCAAUCCUUACGAUACAAUCGACCACACGAUUUAAGACAAUAUGCAAGCUGUGCCAGUGUACAGUAUUUUGAAGUCCUAGACGAACCAAUUCGAAACGAAAACGAUCUUAAUAUAAAGGAAUAUAGUAAACGGCAUAGGAAAACUUGGUAAGAAACAAAUUGAAAAAUGACAGUUUAAUAGCCGUUAAAUAUAUGCAUACACAAACGUUGAAUUCAAAUAAUUCACAAAUUUCUAAAUAGAAAUGGAAAACGGUUAUCUCAUAAUGCAAAAACAACACAAGACCUAAAACAAAUACGCAUAAACAUGUUGCCUUAAUGUUUUUUGAUAUUUUUUUACACACUUUGUAUGUAAAUUAUGACUUCAGAUGCUCAAUGCUAAUGUGUGUAAGUUUCUAGUUAAGUAGCUGUCAAUAAUUGGUUAAGUGUUUAUUUAUCUUAUUAUAAUCAACUAUUUAUUUCCCCAGCAGCUUAGCACAAAUCACUUUUUGUUGUACUUUUUCAUAGUUGUGUAAACCAUAAGACAAAUAUUAUGUAUUGUGCUUAUAAACAUAUUCCAGCCAUUAUAUUUAUAAUGUUUCUUUUAAUCGGAAGAUAGCAAAGAGUCAAUAAAAACCAAAAUCCUGAAAUGAUAGACAUAUUAUUUGCAAAAACAUGUAUAUAAUUAAUAUCAACCUUAAAUGGCAAUGCAAGGUUUCUAUCCUUUUGUUGUUUAUCGUCCACAUAGUCCGAUUUAUACUGUUACUGGUUUCUUCCAUUUGGUCUAAAAUCUAGUAAGUGUUACAAAUGGACCUGUGUGUUCAUGUGUAAUGCUUAACUGAUUAUCAGUGUGGUUUUUUUUCAAAUUGAUAUAUUGUGUACUUACACCUUUACA